UCCUCCUUAGCUCAGUUGGUUAGAGCAUCUGACUGUUAAUCAGAGGGUCGCUGGUUCGAGCCCAGCAGGAGGAGC
Molecule: transfer RNA, 75 nt
Filed under: Elizabethkingia meningoseptica
Lineage: Bacteria; Pseudomonadati; Bacteroidota; Flavobacteriia; Flavobacteriales; Weeksellaceae
Also listed under: 22 other names
Description: tRNA-Asn(gtt)
Rfam family: tRNA
About the family: Transfer RNA (tRNA) molecules are approximately 80 nucleotides in length. Their secondary structure includes four short double-helical elements and three loops (D, anti-codon, and T loops).
Source: RNAcentral